RNAcentral lists this ribosomal RNA (417 nucleotides) under uncultured bacterium. Its description in RNAcentral is "bacterial SSU rRNA". It matches the Rfam family "Bacterial small subunit ribosomal RNA", at positions 355 to 786 of the family's 1533-position model. The record is from RNAcentral.
UCGGGAAUAUUGCGCAAUGGAGGAAACUCUGACGCAGUGACGCCGCGUGCAGGAAGAAGGUUUUCGGAUUGUAAACUGCUUUAGACAGGGAAGAAAGAAAUGACGGUACCUGUAGAAUAAGCUCCGGCUAACUACGUGCCAGCAGCCGCGGUAAUACGUAGGGAGCAAGCGUUAUCCGGAUUUAUUGGGUGUAAAGGGUGCGUAGACGGGUAUACAAGUUAGUAGUGAAAUCCCUCGGCUUAACUGAGGAACUGCUACUAAAACUAUAUAUCUUGAGUACUGGAGGGGAAAGCGGAAUUCCUAGUGUAGCGGUGAAAUGCGUAGAUAUUAGGAAGAACACCGGUGGCGAAGGCGGCUUUCUGGACAGAAACUGACGUUGAGGCACGAAAGUGUGGGGAGCAAACAGGAUUAGAUACC